RNAcentral lists this ribosomal RNA (183 nucleotides) under Neolentinus kauffmanii. Its description in RNAcentral is "partial large subunit ribosomal RNA". It matches the Rfam family "Eukaryotic large subunit ribosomal RNA", at positions 126 to 304 of the family's 3401-position model. The record is from RNAcentral. Lineage: Eukaryota; Fungi; Basidiomycota; Agaricomycetes; Gloeophyllales; Gloeophyllaceae.
GGUCUUUGGCCGUCCGAGUUGUAUUCUGGAGAAGUGCUUUCCGCGCUGGACCGUGUAUAAGUCUCUUGGAACAGAGCGUCAUAGAGGGUGAGAAUCCCGUCUUUGACACGGACUACCAGUGCUUUGUGAUGCGCUCUCAAAGAGUCGAGUUGUUUGGGAAUGCAGCUCAAAUGGGUGGUAAUC